Molecule: ribosomal RNA, 253 nt
Filed under: uncultured bacterium
Lineage: Bacteria
Description: partial 16S ribosomal RNA
Rfam family: Bacterial small subunit ribosomal RNA
Source: RNAcentral
UACGGAGGGGGCUAGCGUUGUUCGGAAUUACUGGGCGUAAAGCGCACGUAGGCGGCUUUGUAAGUUAGAGGUGAAAGCCCGGGGCUUAACUCCGGAAUUGCCUUUAAGACUGCAUCGCUAGAAUUGUGGAGAGGUAAGUGGAAUUCCGAGUGUAGAGGUGAAAUUCGUAGAUAUUCGGAAGAACACCAGUGGCGAAGGCGACUUACUGGACACAUAUUGACGCUGAGGUGCGAAAGCGUGGGGAGCAAACAGG